UACGUAGGGUGCAAGCGUUAAUCGGAAUUACUGGGCGUAAAGCGUGCGCAGGCGGUUUUGUAAGUUUGUCGUGAAAUCCCCGGGCUCAACCUGGGAAUGGCGAUGAAGACUGCAAGGCUAGAAUCUGGCAGAGGGGGGUAGAAUUCCACGUGUAGCAGUGAAAUGCGUAGAGAUGUGGAGGAACACCGAUGGCGAAGGCAGCCCCCUGGGUCAAGAUUGACGCUCAUGCACGAAAGCGUGGGGAGCAAACGAGGA
This 255-nucleotide ribosomal RNA is filed under the name uncultured bacterium. RNAcentral describes it as "partial 16S ribosomal RNA". It matches the Rfam family "Bacterial small subunit ribosomal RNA", at positions 524 to 778 of the family's 1533-position model. The record is from RNAcentral.